GAUGAACGCUGGCGGCGUGCCUAACACAUGCAAGUCGAACGGACCUUCUGUUCCAACUAGCAAUAGGCGGAGCGGUAGGUUAGUGGCGAACGGGUGAGUAACGCGUGAGUGACCUGCCCCGAAGUGGGGAAUAACUAUCCGAAAGGAUAGCUAAUUCCGCAUAUGAUCCGUCAUUCGGUUGGCGGCUCAAAGGCCCGCAAGGGUCGCUUUGGGAUGGGCUCGCGUCCGAUUAGGUAGUUGGUGGGGUAAUGGCUCACCAAGCCGAUGAUCGGUAGGGGGCGUGAGAGCGUGACCCCCCACACUGGCACUGAAACACGGGCCAGACUCCUACGGGAGGCAGCAGUGAGGAAUAUUGCGCAAUGGGCGAAAGCCUGACGCAGCAACGCCGCGUGGGCGAAGAAGGCCUUCGGGUUGUAAAGCCCUUUUCUGGGGGACGAGGAAGGACGGUACCCCAGGAAUAAGCCUCGGCUAACUACGUGCCAGCAGCCGCGGUAAAACGUAGGAGGCGAGCGUUAUUCGGAUUUACUGGGCGUAAAGCGCGUGCAGGCGGCUUCGUAAGUCGGACGUUAAAUCUCCUGGCUCAACUGGGAGGGGUCGUUCGAAACUGCGGGGCUUGAGGUCGGGAGAGGGAAGUGGAAUUCCCGGUGUAGUGGUGGAAUGCGUAGAUAUCGGGAGGAACACCAGUGGCGAAGGCGGCUUCCUGGCCCGCACCUGACGCUAAGACGCGAAAGCGUGGGGAGCGAACG
Molecule: ribosomal RNA, 746 nt
Filed under: uncultured Chloroflexota bacterium
Lineage: Bacteria; Bacillati; Chloroflexota
Description: bacterial SSU rRNA
Rfam family: Bacterial small subunit ribosomal RNA
Source: RNAcentral